UACGUAGGGUGCAAGCGUUAUCCGGAAUUAUUGGGCGUAAAGAGCUCGUAGGCGGUUUGUCGCGUCUGCUGUGAAAACUGGGGGCUCAACCCCCAGCCUGCAGUGGGUACGGGCAGACUAGAGUGCGGUAGGGGAGAUCGGAAUUCCUGGUGUAGCGGUGGAAUGCGCAGGAUAUCGAGGAGGAACACCGGUGGCGAAGGCGGAUCUCUGGGCCGAUAACUGACGC
This 226-nucleotide ribosomal RNA is filed under the name uncultured bacterium. RNAcentral describes it as "partial 16S ribosomal RNA". It matches the Rfam family "Bacterial small subunit ribosomal RNA", at positions 524 to 746 of the family's 1533-position model. The record is from RNAcentral.